Molecule: ribosomal RNA, 482 nt
Filed under: uncultured bacterium
Lineage: Bacteria
Description: partial 16S ribosomal RNA
Rfam family: Bacterial small subunit ribosomal RNA
Source: RNAcentral
AUUGAACGCUGGCGGCAUGCCUUACACAUGCAAGUCGAACGGUAACAGGUCUUCGGAUGCUGACGAGUGGCGAACGGGUGAGUAAUACAUCGGAACGUGCCCGAUCGUGGGGGAUAACGAGGCGAAAGCUUUGCUAAUACCGCAUACGAUCUACGGAUGAAAGCGGGGGAUCUUCGGACCUCGCGCGGACGGAGCGGCCGAUGGCAGAUUAGGUAGUUGGUGGGAUAAAAGCUUACCAAGCCGACGAUCUGUAGCUGGUCUGAGAGGAUGAUCAGCCACACUGGGACUGAGACACGGCCCAGACUCCUACGGGAGGCAGCAGUGGGGAAUUUUGGACAAUGGGCGAAAGCCUGAUCCAGCCAUGCCGCGUGCAGGAUGAAGGCCUUCGGGUUGUAAACUGCUUUUGUACGGAACGAAAAGCCUCUUUCUAAUAAAGAGGGGUCAUGACGGUACCGUAAGAAUAGGCACCGGCUAACUACGUG